Molecule: ribosomal RNA, 513 nt
Filed under: uncultured bacterium
Lineage: Bacteria
Description: partial 16S ribosomal RNA
Rfam family: Bacterial small subunit ribosomal RNA
Source: RNAcentral
GACGAACGCUGGCGGCAUGUCUAAUACAUACAAGUCGAGCGAACAGAUGAAGUGCUUGCACUUCUGACGUUAGCGGCGAACGGGUGAGUAACACGUAAGGAAUCUACCUAUAAGCGGGGGAUAACAUUCGGAAACGGGUGCUAACACCGCAUAAUAUCUUCUUCCGCAUGGAAGAAGAUUGAAAGACGGCUCUGCUGUCACUUAUAGAUGACCUUGCGGUGCAUUAGUUAGUUGGUGGGGUAAUGGCCUACCAAGACGAUGAUGCACAGCCGACCUGAGAGGGUGAUCGGCCACAUUGGGACUGAGACACGGCCCAAACUCCUACGGGAGGCAGCAGUAGGGAAUCUUCCGCAAUGGGCGAAAGCCCGACGGAGCAAUGCCGCGUGAGUGAAGAAGGCCUUCGGGUCGUAAAACUCUGUUAUAAGAGAAGAACAAAUUGUAGAGUAACUGCUACAGUCUUGACGGUAUCUUAUCAGAAAGCCACGGCUAACUACGUGCCAGCAGCCGCCGUAA